RNAcentral lists this ribosomal RNA (440 nucleotides) under uncultured bacterium. Its description in RNAcentral is "partial 16S ribosomal RNA". It matches the Rfam family "Bacterial small subunit ribosomal RNA", at positions 338 to 795 of the family's 1533-position model. The record is from RNAcentral.
CCUACGGGUGGCAGCAGUGGGGGAUAUUGCACAAUGGGGGGAACCCUGAUGCAGCGACGCCGCGUGUGGGAAGACGGUCCUCUGGAUUGUAAACCACUGUCGCCAGGGACGAAAAUGACGGUACCUGGGGAGGAAGCUCCGGCUAACUACGUGCGAGCAGCCGCGGUAAGACGUAGGGAGCGAGUGUUGUCCGGAAUUACUGGGUGAAAAGGGAGCGUAGGCGGGGAUGCAAGUUGGGUGUCAAAACUACCGGCUAAACUGGUAGUCGCACUCAAAACUGCAGCUCUUGAGUGAAGUAGAGGCAGGCGGAAUUCCUAGUGUAGCGGUGAAAUGCGUAGAUAUUAGGAGGAACACCAGUUGCGAAGGCGGCCUGCUGGGCUUUUACUGACGCUGAGGCUCGAAAGUGUGGGGAGCAAACAGGAUUAGAUACCCUUGUAGUC